This is a long non-coding RNA of Dendronephthya gigantea, 646 nucleotides long. RefSeq lists it as uncharacterized. The record is from RefSeq and is a predicted model, not a curated record. The transcript is spliced from 5 exons. Lineage: Eukaryota; Metazoa; Cnidaria; Anthozoa; Malacalcyonacea; Nephtheidae.
AUGAAUUUCUGAAAGAUCGAUAUAUUUUGGCGAAGGCUGUUUAGGGCUGAACCAGGCCGGCCUACCACUGCAGGAGGGGUAGUUGCGAAAUUUACCUCAUGCGGGUGGGGGAAUGCGAUGUCGAGCGGCAGCAAAAUGGCGGAUGGUGGAUUUUGUCAUUUUGAGUUUUGACCAUUGGUUUUGACUAAAUUAGGUGGAUACAUAACAAAUUACUGUAUGAACAUUCGGAAGUCGGAACAUGGGAAUCCGAAUGAGAUUUCAAUAUUUCAUGCCAUCGUGAAUUGAAUUCGUGAUAUCAUCAAGCCUCUGGGAUUUUGAUAAAAAAUAUUUACUUGUGACACUAUAAAGUACCUGGUCCAACUUCCAUGCCUUUUUCAAGAAACCCAGAUUCAUGAUUGUCAGAUUGCAAUUUAUAACAAAUCCAUUGCUGGUGGCGCAUUGUCAAAGUGUAUGGUUGUUGUCAUUUGACGAUAACUUUUGUUCUGUUAUUGGUGAUGGCCUAUUACUAUCAUUGUAAUAUCCAAAGUCGUAUUUGGCAAUUCGGUCAUUCAAGAUUUCCAAGAUUUCAUUUCCUCAGCAGUAGCAAGGCAGUAACGACACGGUCUGUGUGCGCUGCAACUCUCUUUGAAUCCUCCCAACUGUUGGG